Molecule: ribosomal RNA, 301 nt
Filed under: uncultured bacterium
Lineage: Bacteria
Description: partial 16S ribosomal RNA
Rfam family: Bacterial small subunit ribosomal RNA
Source: RNAcentral
CAGCAGCCACGGUAAUACGAAGGGGGCUAGCGUUGCUCGGAAUGACUGGGCGUAAAGGGCGCGUAGGCGGAUGGCACAGUCAGAUGUGAAAUUCCCGGGCUUAACCUGGGGGCUGCAUUUGAUACGUGUUGUCUAGAGUGAGGAAGAGGGUCGUGGAAUUCCCAGUGUAGAGGUGAAAUUCGUAGAUAUUGGGAAGAACACCGGUGGCGAAGGCGGCGACCUGGUCCUUUACUGACGCUGAGGCGCGGAAGCGUGGGGAGCAAACAGGAUUAGAUACCCCAGUAGUCCCUGUCUCUUAUAA